Molecule: ribosomal RNA, 460 nt
Filed under: uncultured bacterium
Lineage: Bacteria
Description: partial 16S ribosomal RNA
Rfam family: Bacterial small subunit ribosomal RNA
Source: RNAcentral
CCUACGGGAGUCAGCAGUGAGGAAUAUUUGUCAAUGGACGAGAGUCUGAACCCGCCAAGUAGCGUGAAGGAUGACUGCCCUAUGGGUUGUAAACUUCUUUUAUAUGGGAAUAAAAUGUUCCACGUGUGGGAUUUUUUAUGUACCAUAUUACUAAAGAUCGGCUAACUCCGUGCCAGCACCCGCGGUAAUACGGAGGAUCCGAGCGUUAUCCCGAUUUAUUUGGUUUAAAGGGAGCGUAGGUGGAUUGUUAAGUCAGUUGUGAAAGUUUGCGGCUCAACCGUAAAAUUGCAGUUGAAACUGGCAGUCUUGAGUACAGUAGAGGUGGGCGGAAUUCGUGGUGUAGCGGUGAAAUGCUUAGAUAUCACGAAGAACUCCGAUUGCGAAGGCAGUUCACUGGACUGCAACUGACACUGAGGCUCGAAAGUGUGGGUAUCAAACAGGAUUAGAUACCCCAGUAGUC